This 791-nucleotide ribosomal RNA is filed under the name Escherichia coli. RNAcentral describes it as "partial 23S ribosomal RNA". It matches the Rfam family "Bacterial large subunit ribosomal RNA", at positions 1922 to 2712 of the family's 2925-position model. The record is from RNAcentral. Lineage: Bacteria; Pseudomonadati; Pseudomonadota; Gammaproteobacteria; Enterobacterales; Enterobacteriaceae.
GGUAAACGGCGGCCGUAACUAUAACGGUCCUAAGGUAGCGAAAUUCCUUGUCGGGUAAGUUCCGACCUGCACGAAUGGCGUAAUGAUGGCCAGGCUGUCUCCACCCGAGACUCAGUGAAAUUGAACUCGCUGUGAAGAUGCAGUGUACCCGCGGCAAGACGGAAAGACCCCGUGAACCUUUACUAUAGCUUGACACUGAACAUUGAGCCUUGAUGUGUAGGAUAGGUGGGAGGCUUUGAAGUGUGGACGCCAGUCUGCAUGGAGCCGACCUUGAAAUACCACCCUUUAAUGUUUGAUGUUCUAACGUUGGCCCGUAAUCCGGGUUGCGGACAGUGUCUGGUGGGUAGUUUGACUGGGGCGGUCUCCUCCUAAAGAGUAACGGAGGAGCACGAAGGUUGGCUAAUCCUGGUCGGACAUCAGGAGGUUAGUGCAAUGGCAUAAGCCAGCUUGACUGCGAGCGUGACGGCGCGAGCAGGUGCGAAAGCAGGUCAUAGUGAUCCGGUGGUUCUGAAUGGAAGGGCCAUCGCUCAACGGAUAAAAGGUACUCCGGGGAUAACAGGCUGAUACCGCCCAAGAGUUCAUAUCGACGGCGGUGUUUGGCACCUCGAUGUCGGCUCAUCACAUCCUGGGGCUGAAGUAGGUCCCAAGGGUAUGGCUGUUCGCCAUUUAAAGUGGUACGCGAGCUGGGUUUAGAACGUCGUGAGACAGUUCGGUCCCUAUCUGCCGUGGGCGCUGGAGAACUGAGGGGGGCUGCUCCUAGUACGAGAGGACCGGAGUGGACGCAUCACUGG